AUGUACACGAGGGAGACGGAGCUAGGGAAGGAAGGAAGGAAUCUAUGCGAUGGCGGCGCCCUUGCCGUUGUUGGCGCCGACGUGGACGUCAGCGUCUCCGAUGUACCUGCGCCAGAACCAGUGGCCCUUCCAGACGAGCACCAUCUCCUCGAUGGGCACGUUCUUGGUCUCCGGCAGGAAGAGCGCGAUGAAGACGGUCAUGAUGACCACCCAGCCGGCGAAGAAGUAGAAGAGGCCGAACUUCAUGUGGCAGAGCAUGGUGAGGAACGCCUGCGCGAUGACGAAGGUGAAGAGCAUGUUGACCGACACGUUGAUGCUCUGCCCGGCGGGCCUGAUCUCCAGCGGGAAGAUCUCGCUGGGCACCAGCCACCCCAGGGGCCCCCAGGACCACGCGAACCCGGCCACGUAGAGGCAGAUGAAGAGCACCACUGCCGCCGCGUACCCCUUGGGCAUCUCCCCCACGCCGCUCGUCCCGAACUUGACCGCGAUCAGGGUGCCCACCACCAGCUGGCUCACCAGCAUCUGCGAGCCGCCCUGCAGGAACAGCUUCCGCCGCCCCAGCCGGUCCACGGUGAAGACGGACACCAGCGUGGCGAACACGUUCACCAGGCCCGUGAUGACGGCCGACAUGAGCGACGCGUCGCCCUUGAACCCCAGCGUCUCGAACAGCACCGGCGCGUAGAACAUGAUGACGUUGAUGCCCGUCAGCUGCUGGAAGAAGGGGAUCAUGAUCGCCAUGGUCAGCUGCGGCCGGUACUUGCGCUGCAGGAUGUUGCGCCACGGGUGCUGCACCAGCUUCGACUCCUCGCUCGCCACCACCAGGUCCGCGUACUCCUCGCUGAUGUCCACGUCGCUGCCGCGGAUGCGGUUCAGCAUGCGCCGCGCCGCCUCCGGGUGCCCGCGCUCGAUGAGCGAGUUGGGGGUGUCGGGGAGGAAGAGGGAGCCGAGGGUGAUGAUGCCUGCGGGGACGGCCGCCAGGGCCAGGCUGAUGCGCCACCCGUACCCGGCCUUGAUCUUGUUGGUGCCGUAGUUGAUGAGCGCCGCCGCCAGGAUGCCGAUGGUGAUCAUCAGCUGGAACCCGAUGUUGAGCAUGCCCCGGAGACGCGCAGGCGCCAUCUCCGACAGGUACACCGGCACAGACUGCCUGAUUGGCGAAGCCAACGCCGACACCGAGAAGGAUGCGUCCGACGAUGA
This 1194-nucleotide ribosomal RNA is filed under the name Triticum aestivum (bread wheat). RNAcentral's name for it is "partial small subunit ribosomal RNA". Lineage: Eukaryota; Viridiplantae; Streptophyta; Magnoliopsida; Poales; Poaceae. The record is from RNAcentral.